Molecule: ribosomal RNA, 2890 nt
Filed under: Triticum dicoccoides
Lineage: Eukaryota; Viridiplantae; Streptophyta; Magnoliopsida; Poales; Poaceae
Description: bacterial LSU rRNA
Rfam family: Bacterial large subunit ribosomal RNA
Source: RNAcentral
UGUCGUCUUCANNNNNNNNNNNNNNNNNNNNNNNNNNNNNNNNNNNNNNNNNNACGUGGUAGCCUGCGAAAAGCUUCGGGGAGUCGGCAAACAGACUUUGAUCCGGAGAUGUCUGAAUGGGGGAACCCAGCCAUCAUAAGAUGGUUACCUUACACUGAAUACAUAGGUGUAUGGAGCGAACCAGGGGAACUGAAACAUCUAAGUACCCUGAGGAAAAGAAAUCAACCGAGAUUCCCUUAGUAGUGGCGAGCGAACGGGGACUAGCCCUUAAGUGGCUUUGAGAUUAGCGGAACGCUCUGGAAAGUGCGGCCAUAGUGGGUGAUAGCCCUGUACGCGAAAAUCUCUUAGUCAUGAAAUCGAGUAGGACGGAGCACGAGAAACUUUGUCUGAAUAUGGGGGGACCAUCCUCCAAGGCUAAAUACUACUGACUGACCGAUAGUGAACUAGUACCGUGAGGGAAAGGCGAAAAGAACCCCGGAGAGGGGAGUGAAAUAGAUCCUGAAACCGUAUGCGUACAAGCAGUGGGAGCAGACUUUGUUCUGUGACUGCGUACCUUUUGUAUAAUGGGUCAGCGACUUAUUUUCAGUGGCGAGCUUAACCGAAUAGGGGAGGCGUAGCGAAAGCGAGUCUUAAUAGGGCGUCUAGUCGCUGGGAAUAGACCCGAAACCGGGCGAUCUAUCCAUGGGCAGGUUGAAGGUUGGGUAACACUAACUGGAGGACCGAACCGACUACCGUUGAAAAGUUAGCGGAUGACCUGUGGAUCGGAGUGAAAGGCUAAUCAAGCUCGGAGAUAGCUGGUUCUCCUCGAAAGCUAUUUAGGUAGCGCCUCAUGUAUCACUGUAGGGGGUAGAGCACUGUUUCGGCUAGGGGGUCAUCCCGACUUACCAAACCGAUGCAAACUCCGAAUACCUACAAGUGCCGAGCAUGGGAGACACACGGCGGGUGCUAACGUCCGUCGUGAAAAGGGAAACAACCCAGACCGUCAGCUAAGGUCCCAAAGUUAUGGUUAAGUGGGAAACGAUGUGGGAAGGCUUAGACAGCUAGGAGGUUGGCUUAGAAGCAGCCACCCUUUAAAGAAAGCGUAAUAGCUCACUAGUCGAGUCGGCCUGCGCGGAAGAUGUAACGGGGCUCAAACCAUACACCGAAGCUACGGGUAUCACGUAAGUGAUGCGGUAGAGGAGCGUUCUGUAAGCCUGUGAAGGUGAGUUGAGAAGCUUGCUGGAGGUAUCAGAAGUGCGAAUGCUGACAUGAGUAACGAUAAUGGGUGUGAAAAACACCCACGCCGAAAGACCAAGGUUUCCUGCGCAACGUUAAUCGACGCAGGGUUAGUCGGUCCCUAAGGCGAGGCUGAAAAGCGUAGUCGAUGGAAAACAGGUUAAUAUUCCUGUACUUCUGGUUAUUGCGAUGGAGGGACGGAGAAGGCUAGGCCAGCUUGGCGUUGGUUGUCCAAGUUUAAGGUGGUAGGCUGGAAUCUUAGGUAAAUCCGGGAUUCUAAGGCCGAGAGCUGAUGACGAGUUAUCUUUUAGAUGACGAAGUGGUUGAUGCCAUGCUUCCAAGAAAAGCUUCUAAGCUUCAGGUAACCAGGAACCGUACCCCAAACCGACACAGGUGGUUGGGUAGAGAAUACCAAGGCGCUUGAGAGAACUCGGGUGAAGGAACUAGGCAAAAUGGCACCGUAACUUCGGGAGAAGGUGCGCCGGUGAGGGUGAAGGACUUGCUCCGUAAGCUCAUGCCGGUCGAAGAUACCAGGCCGCUGCGACUGUUUAUUAAAAACACAGCACUCUGCAAACACGAAAGUGGACGUAUAGGGUGUGACGCCUGCCCGGUGCCGGAAGGUUAAUUGAUGGGGUUAGCUAACGCGAAGCUCUUGAUCGAAGCCCCGGUAAACGGCGGCCGUAACUAUAACGGUCCUAAGGUAGCGAAAUUCCUUGUCGGGUAAGUUCCGACCUGCACGAAUGGCGUAACGAUGGCGGCGCUGUCUCCACCCGAGACUCAGUGAAAUUGAAAUCGCUGUGAAGAUGCAGUGUAUCCGCGGCUAGACGGAAAGACCCCGUGAACCUUUACUAUAGCUUUGCACUGGACUUUGAAUUUGCUUGUGUAGGAUAGGUGGGAGGCUUUGAAGCGUGGACGCCAGUUCGCGUGGAGCCAACCUUGAAAUACCACCCUGGCAACUUUGAGGUUCUAACUCAGGUCCGUUAUCCGGAUCGAGGACAGUGUAUGGUGGGUAGUUUGACUGGGGCGGUCUCCUCCUAAAGAGUAACGGAGGAGUACGAAGGUGCGCUCAGACCGGUCGGAAAUCGGUCGUAGAGUAUAAAGGCAAAAGCGCGCUUGACUGCGAGACAGACACGUCGAGCAGGUACGAAAGUAGGUCUUAGUGAUCCGGUGGUUCUGUAUGGAAGGGCCAUCGCUCAACGGAUAAAAGGUACUCCGGGGAUAACAGGCUGAUACCGCCCAAGAGUUCAUAUCGACGGCGGUGUUUGGCACCUCGAUGUCGGCUCAUCACAUCCUGGGGCUGAAGCCGGUCCCAAGGGUAUGGCUGUUCGCCAUUUAAAGUGGUACGCGAGCUGGGUUUAGAACGUCGUGAGACAGUUCGGUCCCUAUCUGCCGUGGACGUUUGAGAUUUGAGAGGGGCUGCUCCUAGUACGAGAGGACCGGAGUGGACGAACCUCUGGUGUUCCGGUUGUCACGCCAGUGGCAUUGCCGGGUAGCUAUGUUCGGAAUAGAUAACCGCUGAAAGCAUCUAAGCGGGAAACUAGCCUCAAGAUGAGAUCUCACUGGAACCUUGAGUUCCCUGAAGGGCCGUCGAAGACUACGACGUUGAUAGGUUGGGUGUGUAAGCGCUGUGAGGCGUUGAGCUAACCAAUACUAAUUGCCCGUGAGGCUUGACCAU